ACACAAUGAUGUCAUUAAAAGUUUGAGAGCAUUUAAGCCAAAAUUGUUGAAGAUUAACUCUGUCAUAAUUUUUAGAUUUGGUGCAAUUCCAUAGUUCAUAACUAACGAAUUACAAUAGAAGAUAUUAUUUCGAUAAAGCCAUUACUGUAACACUUGGUACUGGACAGAUGAAGUUCUUGGGAACUGUAAAACACCAACAUCGGUUCCGACUAAUU
This 215-nucleotide long non-coding RNA is filed under the name Mytilus galloprovincialis (Mediterranean mussel). The record is from RNAcentral. Lineage: Eukaryota; Metazoa; Mollusca; Bivalvia; Mytilida; Mytilidae.